UACGGAAGGCAGCAGUGGGGAAUAUUGCACAAUGGGCGCAAGCCUGAUGCAGCCAUGCCGCGUGUAUGAAGAAGGCCUUCGGGUUGUAAAGUACUUUCAGCGGGGAGGAAGGCGGUGAAGUUAAUAGCUUCACCGAUUGACGUUACCCGCAGAAGAAGCACCGGCUAACUCCGUGCCAGCAGCCGCGGUAAUACGGAGGGUGCAAGCGUUAAUCGGAAUUACUGGGCGUAAAGCGCACGCAGGCGGUCUGUCAAGUCGGAUGUGAAAUCCCCGGGCUUAACCUGGGAACUGCAUUCGAAACUGGCAGGCUAGAGUCUGUAGAGGGGGUAGAAUUCCAGGUGUAGCGGUGAAAUGCGUAGAGAUCUGGAGGAAUACCGGUGGCGAAGGCGGCCCCUGGACAAAGACUGACGCUCAGGUGCGAAAGCGUGGGGAGCAAACAGGAUUAGGAUACC
RNAcentral lists this ribosomal RNA (452 nucleotides) under uncultured bacterium. RNAcentral describes it as "bacterial SSU rRNA". It matches the Rfam family "Bacterial small subunit ribosomal RNA", at positions 340 to 786 of the family's 1533-position model. The record is from RNAcentral.